CCUCAGGCUAAUCAGAGAACUGAAUAUACCAACAGAUGAAACCUAUUUUUCAUCUAUGUUCUAGUCUAAUUUUAGAGCCAAAUCUAAUUUAACGUGGAUUUGCAUUUUUCUUACCAAAAGCACUCUUGGGUCAGAAAGAUCAGUACUUUGCUAGUACAGUAAGUGUUAUGGUUUCUGUUACUUUUCUCCAAUGUUUAUUUUAGGGUUUUUGUUGGUGUAUGUAGAUUUGUUUGUAGCAUAUUUUGUGUUUGUAUGCAACGUGGAUAU
Pelobates cultripes (western spadefoot toad) is the source of this 267-nucleotide non-coding RNA. Lineage: Eukaryota; Metazoa; Chordata; Amphibia; Anura; Pelobatidae. The record is from the annotation of a GenBank genome assembly.